This 60-nucleotide transfer RNA is filed under the name Parabathippus shelfordi. RNAcentral describes it as "tRNA-Tyr". The record is from RNAcentral. Lineage: Eukaryota; Metazoa; Arthropoda; Arachnida; Araneae; Salticidae.
AUUAAAUCAUAAGAUGGUGAACUGUAAAUUCACAUUAGAUUAUAACAGCAUCUUUAACUU